RNAcentral lists this ribosomal RNA (416 nucleotides) under uncultured bacterium. RNAcentral describes it as "bacterial SSU rRNA". It matches the Rfam family "Bacterial small subunit ribosomal RNA", at positions 91 to 507 of the family's 1533-position model. The record is from RNAcentral.
UAGGGUGGCGCACGGGUGCGUAACGCGUAGGUAAUCUGCCCUGAGGUCUGACAUAACCCGUCGAAAGGGCGGGCUAACAUCAGAUGAUAUAUAAUCACGACAUCGUGGAAAUAUCAAAUCUUCGGAGCCUUGGGAUGAGCCUGCGUCUGAUUAGGUAGUUGGCGGAGUAAUAGCCCACCAAGCCUACGAUCAGUAGCUGGUCUGAGAGGAUGAUCAGCCACACUGGAACUGAGACACGGUCCAGACUCCUACGGGAGGCAGCAGUAAGGAAUAUUGCUCAAUGGGGGGAAACCCUGAAGCAGCAACGCCGCGUGAAGGAUGAAAUACUUUUGUAUGUAAACUUCUGUAAGAUGGGAAAAAUAUUCUCCUCGGGAGAAUUGAUUGUACCAUCAGAGUAAGCCCCGGCUAACUACGUG